Long non-coding RNA from Syngnathus acus (greater pipefish), 382 nucleotides. RefSeq lists it as uncharacterized. The record is from RefSeq and is a predicted model, not a curated record. NCBI's taxonomy places the organism in Eukaryota, Metazoa, Chordata, Actinopteri, Syngnathiformes, Syngnathidae. The transcript is spliced from 3 exons.
GAACAUCUUGUUCCUGUUUUCCUGCAGCGACACCUCCCGCGGUCCAGCGGUGGAGAAGCCGAGCGGCGGCCUGCAGGUUAGAGCGCUCAAGCGGCGUAAUGCUCUCUUUCCUCUUUAACGGGAUUAGCAGCCAGCGGCGCCCUCCGGUCAAGCGUGCGGCGGGAAGCCAGCGGGUUGUUGGGCAAGGUGUGUGAAGGAGGGAGACCUGGAAAACAGACUGGAAAGCGGCUCCCGAGGACUGGACUCUCCUACCACUGCUCUACAACGACCAAGAUCUGAGCUGUUGCCAGUUUUGGACUCUGCGUGACGUGAACAACAAAUUCAGUGAUGACGAAGAGGAGAGAAGAAAAGAAGAGGGGCAAAGAAAGAGGCAGAAGAAUAA